This is a long non-coding RNA of Pteropus alecto (black flying fox), 4430 nucleotides long. RefSeq lists it as uncharacterized. The record is from RefSeq and is a predicted model, not a curated record. NCBI's taxonomy places the organism in Eukaryota, Metazoa, Chordata, Mammalia, Chiroptera, Pteropodidae. The transcript has 6 exons.
CGGGAGAGAGUCACACACUGUGGCCCCGGGGUGACAGUGACCCUUCCUGGGUGAACAGAGGCCCGAUUCACUCUGCUGGGAGCACAAGGCAGGCUGGCCACACAUGCUGGUAUCUACAGAGGGUGGUGGCUGAAGGGAGCUCUUUGUGGGGUAGGCUGGCCUCCCGAAAUGGGUGAUAUCAUUCCUUGGGGCCAGGGUCCCUGGGAUCAGGGCUAGGUGUGAAGGGGCUCAGGAGUCACUGCUCACUUCUUUUGGAAAUCACAGAAGUGCUGAAAAAUGCAGAAGCAUGGGUCUCCUCACGAGGAGGAGACAUCUUGGCUGUUAUUUGGUGAGGACACUGAGCUGGCUUGGGGAGAGCUGGUUGUGUGUCCUGACCUGGGACCUGUCCUGAGCUGGGACCUGCCCGCAGCCUGUCCUCACAUGGCUCCAACACCCUCCACCUCUAGGCAGCCCUCCCUGCCAGCAAGACAACCCACAAUCUGAGGGCCGGUUACCCCUGCUGACAAACUGCACAUGUCCCCUAGUGAGGACUGUGGGGAACCAGGGUGGCAGGUGUGCAAGGCCCAGGAGGCGAGCUCAGAAGUGCGUGUCUGGCCUGACACUGGGACUCUGCUUCCUUCACCUGCUCUGUCCUGCUUCCCUAGCGUGAGUGCGGGGACUGGGGAUGCACAUCAGGGAGCGGACGGUGGGUCCCGGUGGGUCCCAGCCUGAGGGGCAGUGGCUGGGUCAGCUCGCCUGCUGCACUCUGGGGAGUAAUUUGACCACAGGCUGUGUGGGCUGCGUGAUAGUGACACCACGGUGGGCACAUCAGCCCCCGUGAAUGUCCUUUCAUAACUGUCAUCCUGUUUUAAAAAUUUGGAAGUUCGUGGUGUCACUGUCCACCUGUGGAGCUGCACAUGAUUUCUCAGGAAGGACAAUAGCAACCCGCCUGCCGCUGUCUGGCCCAGGCCCUACUUCCCACCCUACAGGGGACAGGGACCAGAAGGAACCAUGCCAGAGACACACGCCUGUCCCCCGUGGCCCUGGGGACCAAGGGGCAACUGGAGUGCAGACAUGUUCUCACAGCCAAGGUGCCUGCUGACAGCCAGGUACUUGCACCAUUUCUAGCCCUCACACCUGCUCUGAUAGGGUGGUGGAAACAAGACCGGGAGUCUGUGAAGUUGCAGGAAGAAGCUGUAGAAGAGCCAUGAAGACCAGGCACUGAGCUGUGGCGCCCGUUUCGUGUGACGGAGACCGCUGCAUGGGGAGACAAGGCUCCUGACAAUCAAACCCCAAGUCCCCACCUAGAGAGAAAGCCAGGCCCUUUCCUCCCAUGUCCAAGGGUCUCACUGUGGGGGGAACAGCGGAGAAGGUGGAUCUGUCACAAACGUGGGUCUACACGCUUCUGAGUCCUCUGCAGCCAACGUUCGCCGCUGGUUUUCAAACGUGGUUUGGCCCACGAGGCCAUGAACACAGAGUGUGCCUUUGAUGGGCAGUGUUUACUUCAGCAAGUGGGCAAAGCAGGAGGCAGGAGAGGGAAGGACCUGGCCGAGAUGGACUAUCUCUACACCAGUGGUCCCUUGUGAAUUAGAUCCUUGCAAGGAGACUACAACCGCAGGAAGAAGACAAAGCCGGGGGACCUCCCCAAAUGCUAAACUCAUCACACUGGAGAUGGGAAGUCCUAUCCAAAUCCAGACCUGGCAUGACUGCUUAACGUUUGCUGUGGGGAGCUGGGGACCAGAUGUCUUAAUCCUUCUGCGAAAGCCAGCUCCUUAUUUCAAAAUCCAUCCUGUUUGACCAUCGAGCCUUCAUAAAAGCUGGAAUGCACGCUGGGAUGAGCAGGGAGCAGAUAGCUCCAGGGACCUGGUGGAUGCCUGCAAACACUCGCCAAACCCUGGGCCAAGCAGGCCAGCACAGGGUCCCCGUAGAAGAUAUUGAACACAUUGACCAUUUUUUCGCCCUCCACUCUGGUUAUUCAAGGUAAGGGAAACGCUGCAGAAGAUAGCAUUUUUUUUUUUUUAAGGAGGCUCAGGGCUCUGUCAUUUGGCACAGUGUUCUGCUUAUUGUGUCUUUGCUGAUAAAUUUAAAACAUUAACUGCAACUUUUGAUACUGAACUUUCCCGUGUGCCACGGGGCACAAGGCCCAUCCCAUAUUGUCCCUCAAGGGCCCAGGAUGAAAAACAAGUGAUUCAGCACUGAUGUAAGAAGUCUGUACUCGCACAGCUAAGCAUCUGUAAAUGAGAACGCUCCAGAGAAUCCAUGGCCAUCUAUGUCUAGGUAGAUGUCGCCAGCCUCCCGGGGCCAAAGGAAAAUCUCUUCAUUCAUGGCCCUGGGCAGGGACCAGUGAGAGCUCAAAGAAACCCUUUUGCGGUAUUACAGACGAGUAUUUACGUUGCUCAUGAACUUUCGGUCCAGGAAAGAUGUGACAACCUGUUUAGGUUUUAAAAGGAGUCCGAUAUCCCAUUGACUGAACGCAGAGCAGGCGCAAAGAACGGUAACCGCAGUAUUGACUAACGCAGUUGGUCCCUUCCAAGGAGGAUGAGGGUGGGGUUUGGAUCAUGGAAAGCACCAUUGAUAGUAUUUUCUUCUGCUUUCCGGAAAAUCAACCAGGAAAGAAACUAUGUCUGAAGCGUUAAAAAAAAAAAAAAAAAAGACUGUCCUGGCUUCUGGUUCUGGAACGGGAGGCCGUACACUCACUUCUCCCUACUCCGUUUCUGUAAACUACACACCCUGGAAACUGUCCAACAGACAGUGAUUAAAGAAAUCUGAAAGGUGGGGGAAAAGAAGGGAGACUGGCAAGAAACCUUGAGACUUGAGCAACAACAACUGGUUGUUUCCUGAGUUUUUGUGUCUCCCGUGUACCCUGACCUGGGCACAGGAGAAGCUUGCAAACGAACAAAUAAAAACCCCACUCAAACCCUAGAAUACUCUGCUCUCUCUGCCAAAGUCUGGGCAAGGGAAAACGUAACAGGGACCCAGCGAGAAGCUCCAGCCCCCACUCUGUGACCCGGGGCCCUUGCAGAUAAUUCAAUCCACCGGCAGCAGCAAAGCCCAGGCAGUUCUGGCUCCUGGUCCAAACUGAGAUGCAGUGGGCAGCCACAGCAUCCGUGGAGCCCUAUGUCUUCUCGGCCUCUGCCAAGUGGUAUAAGGACUUCCAGGCCCACCAGCUUCUUCCCCACUCCCAAAGGUUACCUAGCAACAGAGUCUUUGACCAUAACGCUCACUAACAAAAGAAUAUGAAGCUACGGUAUACUGAAAAACACAAUUAAAUCAAAAUAGAGUUCUGAAAAAAUGUUUGCCACCCACAGGAAAUCAAUAAAAAGGAAAUAGAAGAAUAAUAGACAGAAGGAACAAAUGAUAAAAUGUCAGACUUAUUCCUAACAGAUCAUUAAUUACCUUAAAUGUAAAUAGCCUUAAUUCACCAAUUGAAAGGUAGAGAUUGGCAGAGCGGUUUCAAAAACAUGAUCCAACUAUACGCUGUUUACAAGACACUCCCUUUAAAUUCAAUGACACGUGUAGCCUGAAAGCAAAAGAAAGAAAACGAUAUACCGCACAAGUGUUACUCGAAAGGAAACUCAACUCGAGUAGCUACGUUAACCUCAGGCCCAGCAGAAUUCGGAGUAAACCAAUGGCAAAGAGGGAAGUUACUCGACAAAAUGAUUAACCCGCCAAGAAGGCGGAGCCGUCUUGUGAAACAAACGAUAGCGUUUCACAAUGUAUGAAGCCAAAACUAUGCUGAAAGAAGAAUUGGAUAUAUCCACACCUCUGACUGGGAGCUUAAGCUCCCGCUCCACCCUCUCACUUUGGACUUUCAGAACUACAGGGAAUAGCAGCGAAAACAGAGAGCGCUCGACAGCGCCACCACCGUAAGGCUCCGUCCAACAACAGCUGACCCUACCUUGUUUUAAAGGGCUCAUGGGACAGUCCCUGAGACGGGCCAGCUCCUAGGUUACAAAGUAAACCUUAGCAGAUUUGAGAGGACUGAAAUCGUACAGAGCGUGCUGUCUGACCUUAUGGAAUUAGACCAGAAAUCAAAACGAAGGUCGGCAGGAAAAUCUCCAAACACUUGCAAACUAAACAAUAAACUCCUUAAUAAUUCCUAAGUCAAAGAGGCUGUCUCAAAUAAAAUUUUAAAAAUAUGUGGAGCAAAAGAAAAUGAAAAUAAAAGUAUUAAAAUGUAUGAAAUGCAGCUAACGCAAUGCUGAAAGGGAAAUUUAUGUCAUUAUAAAGAAGAAAUAGCUCAAAUAACUACUUCAGUUUCUAUUUCAGGAAAUUUUAAAGAAAGAGCAAAUUAAACUCAAAGCAAAUAUACAAAAGGAAAUAAUAAAGAGCAGAAAUCAAUAAAAUCGAAAACUGAAAAAUGGUAGAAAAAGUAAUUGAAACAGAAAGAUGUUUCCUCAAAAAAAAAAAAAAAAAAAGAUCAGUAAAAUGAAUUACCUUAACAAGAUUGG